Magnolia sinica is the source of this 560-nucleotide long non-coding RNA. RefSeq lists it as uncharacterized. The record is from RefSeq and is a predicted model, not a curated record. Lineage: Eukaryota; Viridiplantae; Streptophyta; Magnoliopsida; Magnoliales; Magnoliaceae. The transcript has 3 exons.
CAUCUCAUGAGUCUUACUAUUUGUAAUUUUCUUACCCCUGUAGUGAUUAUCAAAAGUAGUGGGCCAUCAUUGAAAGAUUACCCUUGUAAUUGCAUUGUGGAAUAUGCAUUCAUUAUUCAAAGAAAGGGCGACAUUCCAAGCACUCACACUUUCUCUCCUUGCUUGCUAAAUUGGUUGACAAACUAAAGAAGUCAAUGGAGGAUGAAAUUCAUUUUCUCAAGGGAUGGGUUUCAGAACUUGAAAGUGAUCUUGUGUCAAAGUCCACAAAAGUUACAUCUGCAGUUUUAAGGAAAGAAGAAGUUCUAUCUUCUGCAUUUGCUGAAAUUGACCACCUGAAUGAAGAAAAUUCUGUAAAAACGUGAGCAUUAUUGAAUGCAUAUGGAGGGUGUUUACUGUGUUGAAGUAUAUUUUUUUCUUGCAAAUGAGGGCACGCCUUAGUUGUAAUUCUCAUGAUAGGUUGAGCAAAGUAAAGUAUUGUUUAUUUAGAAAUGUGAAUGUAGGAUGCAUUGUAUGAUUUGAUUGCUAUUUGUAAUAAAUGUAUCAUUUUUUUUCUGAUUGCA